RNAcentral lists this ribosomal RNA (1141 nucleotides) under Escherichia coli. RNAcentral's name for it is "bacterial LSU rRNA". It matches the Rfam family "Bacterial large subunit ribosomal RNA", at positions 500 to 1644 of the family's 2925-position model. Lineage: Bacteria; Pseudomonadati; Pseudomonadota; Gammaproteobacteria; Enterobacterales; Enterobacteriaceae. The record is from RNAcentral.
ACCGUGAGCGAAAGGGGAAAAGCACCCCGGGAGGGGAGUGAAAUAGAACCUGAAACCGUGUGCCUACAACAAGUUCGAGCCCGUUAAUGGGUGAGAGCGUGCCUUUUGUAGAAUGAACCGGCGAGUUACGAUAUGAUGCGAGGUUAAGUUGAAGAGACGGAGCCGUAGGGAAACCGAGUCUUAAUAGGGCGAUUUAGUAUCAUGUUGUAGACCCGAAACCAUGUGACCUACCCAUGAGCAGGUUGAAGGUGAGGUAAAACUCACUGGAGGACCGAACCAGGGCACGUUGAAAAGUGCUUGGAUGACUUGUGGGUAGCGGAGAAAUUCCAAACGAACUUGGAGAUAGCUGGUUCUCUCCGAAAUAGCUUUAGGGCUAGCGUCGAUGUUAAGUCUCUUGGAGGUAGAGCACUGUUUGGGUGAGGGGUCCAUCUCGGAUUACCAAUCUCAGAUAAACUCCGAAUGCCAACGAGAUAUCAUCGGCAGUCAGACUGCGAGUGCUAAGAUCCGUAGUCGAAAGGGAAACAGCCCAGACCACCAGCUAAGGUCCCAAAAUAACUGUUAAGUGGAAAAGGAUGUGGGGUUGCACAGACAACUAGGAUGUUAGCUUAGAAGCAGCUAUUCAUUCAAAGAGUGCGUAAUAGCUCACUAGUCGAGUGACCCUGCGCCGAAAAUGUACCGGGGCUAAAACAGUUUACCGAAGCUGUGGAUGACACAAAAGUGUCAUGGUAGGAGAGCGUUCUAUGUGUGAAGAAGGUGUACCGUGAGGAGCGCUGGAACGCAUAGAAGUGAGAAUGCCGGUAUGAGUAGCGCAAGACAGGUGAGAAUCCUGUCCACCGUAAGACUAAGGUUUCCAGGGGAAGGCUCGUCCGCCCUGGGUUAGUCGGGACCUAAGGAGAGACCGAAAGGUGUAUCCGAUGGCCAACAGGUUGAUAUUCCUGUACUAGAGUAUAUAGUGAUGGAGGGACGCAGUAGGCUAACUAAACCGGACGAUUGGAAGAGUCCGGCUAAGCAGUGAGGUGUAAGAUGAGUCAAAUGCUUAUCUUUAUAACAUUGAGCUGUGAUGGGGAGCGAAUUUUAGUAGCGAAGUUAGUGAUGUCACACUGCCAAGAAAAGCUUCUAGCGUUUAAUGAUACUCUACCCG